GUCCACACCGUAAACGAUGAUUACUAGGUGUUGGAGGAUUGACCCCUUCAGUGCCGCAGUUAACACAAUAAGUAAUCCACCUGGGGAGUACGACCGCAAAGGUUGAAACUCAAAGGAAUUGACGGGGGCCCGCACAAGCAGUGGAGUAUGUGGUUUAAUUCGACGCAACGCGAAGAACCUUACCAAGUCUUGACAUCCCUUGACGAUACUGGAAAACAGUAUUUUCCUUCGGGACGCAGAGACAGGUGGUGCAUGGUUGUCGU
Molecule: ribosomal RNA, 263 nt
Filed under: uncultured bacterium
Lineage: Bacteria
Description: partial 16S ribosomal RNA
Rfam family: Bacterial small subunit ribosomal RNA
Source: RNAcentral